GAUGAACGCUGGCGGCGUGCCUAAUACAUGCAAGUCGAGCGAACAGACGAGGAGCUUGCUCCUCUGACGUUAGCGGCGGACGGGUGAGUAACACGUGGAUAACCUACCUAUAAGACUGGGAUAACUUCGGGAAACCGGAGCUAAUACCGGAUAAUAUAUUGAACCGCAUGGUUCAAUAGUGAAAGACGGUUUUGCUGUCACUUAUAGAUGGAUCCGCGCCGCAUUAGCUAGUUGGUAAGGUAACGGCUUACCAAGGCAACGAUGCGUAGCCGACCUUAGAGGGUGAUCGGCCACACUGGAACUGAGACACGGUCCAGACUCCUACGGGAGGCCGCGGUAGGGAAUCUUCCGCAAUGGGCGAAAGCCUGACGGAGCAACGCCGCGUGAGUGAUGAAGGUCUUCGGAUCGUAAAACUCUGUUAUUAGGGAAGAACAAAUGUGUAAGUAACUAUGCACGUCUUGACGGUACCUAAUCAGAAAGCCACGGCUAACUACGUG
This 497-nucleotide ribosomal RNA is filed under the name uncultured bacterium. RNAcentral's name for it is "partial 16S ribosomal RNA". It matches the Rfam family "Bacterial small subunit ribosomal RNA", at positions 28 to 507 of the family's 1533-position model. The record is from RNAcentral.